AUUGAACGCUUGCGGCAUGCCUUACACAUGCAAGUCGAACGGCAGCGCGGACUUCGGUCUGGCGGCGAGUGGCGAACGGGUGAGUAAUACAUCGGAACGUACCCUGUUGUGGGGGAUAACUAGUCGAAAGAUUAGCUAAUACCGCAUACGACCUGAGGGUGAAAGUGGGGGACCGGAAACGGCCUCAUGCAGCAGGAGCGGCCGAUGUCUGAUUAGCUAGUUGGUGGGGUAAAGGCCCACCAAGGCGACGAUCAGUAGCUGGUCUGAGAGGACGAUCAGCCACACUGGGACUGAGACACGGCCCAGACUCCUACGGGAGGCAGCAGUGGGGAAUUUUGGACAAUGGGGGCAACCCUGAUCCAGCAAUGCCGCGUGUGUGAAGAAGGCCUUCGGGUUGUAAAGCACUUUUGUCCGGAAAGAAAUCGCGCUGGUUAAUACCUGGCGUGGAUGACGGUACCGGAAGAAUAAGCACCGGCUAACUACGUG
RNAcentral lists this ribosomal RNA (486 nucleotides) under uncultured bacterium. RNAcentral's name for it is "partial 16S ribosomal RNA". It matches the Rfam family "Bacterial small subunit ribosomal RNA", at positions 30 to 507 of the family's 1533-position model. The record is from RNAcentral.